This 303-nucleotide ribosomal RNA is filed under the name Salmonella enterica. Its description in RNAcentral is "partial 23S ribosomal RNA". It matches the Rfam family "Bacterial large subunit ribosomal RNA", at positions 1 to 291 of the family's 2925-position model. Lineage: Bacteria; Pseudomonadati; Pseudomonadota; Gammaproteobacteria; Enterobacterales; Enterobacteriaceae. RNAcentral also lists the same sequence under 2 other names. The record is from RNAcentral.
GGGUUGUGAGGUUAAGCGACUAAGCGUACACGGUGGAUGCCCUGGCAGUCAGAGGCGAUGAAGGGCGUGCUAAUCUGCGAUAAGCGCCGGUAAGGUGAUAUGAACCGUUAUAACCGGCGAUACCCGAAUGGGGAAACCCAGUGUGACUCGUCACACUAUCAUUAACUGAAUCCAUAGGUUAAUGAGGCGAACCGGGGGAACUGAAACAUCUAAGUACCCCGAGGAAAAGAAAUCAACCGAGAUUCCCCCAGUAGCGGCGAGCGAACGGGGAGGAGCCCAGAGCCUGAAUCAGCAUGUGUGUUA